AGAGUUUGAUCCUGGCUCAGGAUGAACGCUGGCGGCAUGCCUAAUACAUGCAAGUCGAACGAGGGUCCUUCGGGACUCGAGUGGCGAACGGGUGAGUAACACGUAGGGAACCUGCCCGUGCGACCGGGAGAACUUUCGGAAACGGAAGCUGAUACCGGAUAGGGACAGAGACGGCAUCGACUCUGUGUUAAAGGAGCUGAAAGGCUCCGCGCACGGAUGGACCUGCGGUGCAUUAGCUAGUUGGUGAGGUAACGGCCCACCAAGGCGACGAUGCAUAGCCGGCCUGAGAGGGCGGACGGCCACACUGGGACUGAGACACGGCCCAGACUCCUACGGGAGGCAGCAGUAGGGAAUUUUCGUCAAUGGGCGCAAGCCUGAACGAGCAAUGCCGCGUGAACGAGGAAGGUCUUCGGAUCGUAAAGUUCUGUUGAAGGGGAAAAAGAGCGGAGAGAGGAAAUGGUCUCCGAUUGAUAUUACCCUUCGAGGAAGUCACGGCUAACUACGUGCCAGCAGCCGCGGUAAUACGUAGGUGGCGAGCGUUAUCCGGAAUGAUUGGGCGUAAAGGGUGCGUAGGCGGCCUGCUAAGUCUGGAGUGAAAGGUACCGGCUCAACCGGUACAGGCUCUGGAAACUGGCGGGCUAGAGAGCAGGAGAGGGCGGUGGAACUCCAUGUGUAGCGGUAAAAUGCGUAGAUAUAUGGAAGAACACCAGUGGCGAAGGCGGCCGCCUGGCCUGUUACUGACGCUGAGGCACGAAAGCGUGGGGAGCAAAUAGGAUUAGAUACCCUAGUAGUCCACGCCGUAAACGAUGAGGACCAAGUGUUGGGGAAGACCCAGUGCUGCAGUUAACGCAGUGAGUCCUCCGCCUGGGGAGUAUGCACGCAAGUGUGAAACUCAAAGGAAUUGACGGGGGCCCGCACAAGCGGUGGAGUAUGUGGUUUAAUUCGAAGCAACGCGAAGAACCUUACCAGGCCUUGACAUAGGGUGCGAAGCUGUGGAGACAUAGUGGAGGUAAACAUCCAUACAGGUGGUGCAUGGUUGUCGUCAGCUCGUGUCGUGAGAUGUUCAGUUAAGUCUGGCAACGAGCGCAACCCUCGUGAUGUGUUACCAAUAUCGAGUUAGGGACUCACAUCAGACUGCCGGUGAGAAACCGGAGGAAGGCGGGGAUGACGUCAAAUCAUCAUGCCCCUUAUGGCCUGGGCUACACACGUACUACAAUGGCGGCGACAGAGGGCAGCGAGCCUGCGAAGGCAAGCGAAUCCCAAAAAAGCCGCCCCAGUUCGGAUUGGAGUCUGCAACCCGACUCCAUGAAGUUGGAAUCGCUAGUAAUCGCGGAUCAGCAUGCCGCGGUGAAUACGUUCUCGGGCCUUGCACACACCGCCCGUCA
Molecule: ribosomal RNA, 1385 nt
Filed under: uncultured bacterium
Lineage: Bacteria
Description: 16S ribosomal RNA
Rfam family: Bacterial small subunit ribosomal RNA
Source: RNAcentral